GCGCAGCAGGCGAGAAUACUCCGCAAUGCCCGAAAGGGUGACGGGGGAUUCCAAGUGCCUACGCUUAGCGUAGGCUGUUCAGGUGCCUAAAAAGCACCUGGAGGAAGGGCUGGGUAAGACGGGUGCCAGCCGCCGCGGUAAUACCCGCAGCCCGAGUGGUAGUCGCUUUUAUUGGGCCUAAAGCGUCCGUAGCCGGUCUGGUAAAUGCCUGGGUAAAUCGUGGGGCUUAACCUCACGAAUUCCGGGUAGACUGCCAGACUUGGGACCGGUUGAGGGAGAGGGUACUCCAGGGGUAGGGGUGAAAUCAGCAAGGUAAGCUGAUGUAACUUGCCUUGCAAGUCACAAUCCUGUAAUCCUUGGAGGACCACCGGUGGCGAAAGCGCUCUCCUAGGACGGGUCCGACGGUGAGGGACGAAAGCCAGGGGAGCAAACCGGAUUAGAUACCCCCGUAGUCCCUGG
RNAcentral lists this ribosomal RNA (459 nucleotides) under uncultured microorganism. RNAcentral's name for it is "bacterial SSU rRNA". It matches the Rfam family "Archaeal small subunit ribosomal RNA", at positions 330 to 750 of the family's 1478-position model. The record is from RNAcentral.